Molecule: ribosomal RNA, 497 nt
Filed under: uncultured bacterium
Lineage: Bacteria
Description: partial 16S ribosomal RNA
Rfam family: Bacterial small subunit ribosomal RNA
Source: RNAcentral
GACGAACGCUGGCGGCGUGCCUAAUACAUGCAAGUAGAACGCUGAAGCUUGGUGCUUGCACCGAGCGGAUGAGUUGCGAACGGGUGAGUAACGCGUAGGUAACCUGCCUGGUAGCGGGGGAUAACUAUUGGAAACGAUAGCUAAUACCGCAUAAGAGUAGCUGUUGCAUGACAUUUGCUUAAAAGGUGCAAUUGCAUCACUACCAGAUGGACCUGCGUUGUAUUAGCUAGUUGGUGAGGUAACGGCUCACCAAGGCAACGAUACAUAGCCGACCUGAGAGGGUGAUCGGCCACAUGGGAGCGGGGCCACGGCCAAGACGCCUGCGGGAGGCAGCAGUAGGGAAUCUGCGGCAAUGGACGGAAGUCUGACCGAGCAACGCCGCGUGAGUGAAGAAGGCUUUCGGAUCGUAAAGCUCUGUUGUAAGAGAAGAACGAGUGUGAGAGUGGAAAGUUCACACUGUGACGGUAUCUUACCAGAAAGGGACGGCUAACUACGUG